Molecule: ribosomal RNA, 253 nt
Filed under: uncultured bacterium
Lineage: Bacteria
Description: partial 16S ribosomal RNA
Rfam family: Bacterial small subunit ribosomal RNA
Source: RNAcentral
UACAGAGGGUGCGAGCGUUAAUCGGAAUGACUGGGCGUAAAGGGUGCGUAGGUGGUUGAUUGAGUGCGCUGUGAAAUCCCCGGGCUUAACCUGGGAAUGGCAGCGCAUACUGAUGAACUAGAGUAGGUCAGAGGGGUGUGGAAUUUCCGGUGUAGCGGUGAAAUGCGUAGAGAUCGGAAAGAACACCGGUGGCGAAGGCGGCACUCUGGGGCCUAACUGACACUGAGGCACGAAGGCGUGGGGAGCAAACAGG